AUGGAUUAUCUGUGUGGUGUUACAGGUGGAAACAGUGUGCAGGUGUUUUACUGCGAGCCUGAAAAAUGUGCUCUCAGUGUAAUUAGCGUGUAUUGCAACGAUGAAGCCCUGCUCAAUAACGGAUCCAUGACAGAGUGCUCUGGUCCUCCUCCACACAGAGCUGUCUGUCAGCAUGAUGGUCGAGCAUUUGUUUCCAUGUCUGGAAAUGCUCAUUGUGAAUUUGAAGGGAAUAGUGGAUACAUCACCACAAAAAAUUGUUCAGACCUCAGCAACCUGUGCUCUUUCACUAGAACAACCAAAUCCUCACCAACCCCAACGGGUUUUGGAAGUCUUGCGGAGGGCCUUACGCAAACUCAUCUCAUCAUCCUCAUUGUAGUAGUUUGUAAGUUCUGA
RNAcentral lists this long non-coding RNA (393 nucleotides) under Oreochromis niloticus (Nile tilapia). RNAcentral describes it as "lncRNA (ENSONIG00000043053.1)". The record is from RNAcentral. Lineage: Eukaryota; Metazoa; Chordata; Actinopteri; Cichliformes; Cichlidae.